RNAcentral lists this ribosomal RNA (486 nucleotides) under uncultured bacterium. RNAcentral's name for it is "partial 16S ribosomal RNA". It matches the Rfam family "Bacterial small subunit ribosomal RNA", at positions 30 to 507 of the family's 1533-position model. The record is from RNAcentral.
AUUGAACGCUGGCGGCAUGCCUUACACAUGCAAGUCGAACGGCAGCACGGGUGCUUGCACCUGGUGGCGAGUGGCGAACGGGUGAGUAAUACAUCGGAACAUGUCCUGUAGUGGGGGAUAGCCCGGCGAAAGCCGGAUUAAUACCGCAUACGAUCCACGGAUGAAAGCGGGGGACCUUCGGGCCUCGCGCUAUAGGGUUGGCCGAUGGCUGAUUAGCUAGUUGGUGGGGUAAAGGCCUACCAAGGCGACGAUCAGUAGCUGGUCUGAGAGGACGACCAGCAACACUGGGACUGAGACACGGCCCAGACUCCUACGGGAGGCAGCAGUGGGGAAUUUUGGACAAUGGGCGAAAGCCUGAUCCAGCAAUGCCGCGUGUGUGAAGAAGGACUUCGGGUUGUAAAGCACUUUUGUCCGGAAAGAAAUCCUUGACUCUAAUACAGUCGGGGGAUGACGGUACCGGAAGAAUAAGCACCGGCUAACUACGUG